GGGUAACCUGCCCAAGAGAUCGGGAUAACACCUGGAAACAGAUGCUAAUACCGGAUAACAAUAGAUGAUGCCUAUCAACUGUUUAAAAGAUGGUUCUGCUAUCACUCUUGGAUGGACCUGCGGUGCAUUAGCUAGUUGGUAGGGUAACGGCCUACCAAGGCGAUGAUGCAUAGCCGAGUUGAGAGACUGAUCGGCCACAUUGGGACUGAGACACGGCCCAAACUCCUACGGGAGGCAGCAGGC
Molecule: ribosomal RNA, 243 nt
Filed under: uncultured Lactobacillus sp.
Lineage: Bacteria; Bacillati; Bacillota; Bacilli; Lactobacillales; Lactobacillaceae
Description: partial 16S ribosomal RNA
Rfam family: Bacterial small subunit ribosomal RNA
Source: RNAcentral